UACGAAGGGGGCUAGCGUUGUUCGGAAUUACUGGGCGUAAAGGGCGCGCAGGCGGCUCUUCAAGUCAGAUGUGAAAGCCCCGGGCUCAACCUGGGAACUGCAUUUGAGACUGGAGAGCUUGAGUUCGGGAGAGGAGAGCGGAAUUCCCAGUGUAGAGGUGAAAUUCGUAGAUAUUCGCAAGAACACCAGUGGCGAAGGCGGCUCACUGGCCCGGUACUGACGCUGAGGUGCGAAAGCGUGGGGAGCAAACAGG
This 253-nucleotide ribosomal RNA is filed under the name uncultured bacterium. RNAcentral's name for it is "partial 16S ribosomal RNA". It matches the Rfam family "Bacterial small subunit ribosomal RNA", at positions 524 to 776 of the family's 1533-position model. The record is from RNAcentral.